AACCUUUGAGAAAUCCUUUCCAGAACCUUCAUCUGCUGCCGCAUCAAAAUUCAAAUUGAGGGAGUUGGACUGAAGCACCAAAAGCAGCAAUGUGAGUAAUAAUUUCAUGAUCAAAUUGGCUUUGGAAGGUAGCAGCUUAAGUUCACUCAACAGUUUUAGACCUGAACUUGCACAUUUCAUAACAAGUAGUGAUAUGUCUGUGGAUAAGCCUUUGCAAACAGUUCUAGUCAACAGGAGGAGUAAUUCUACUUGACAAGCAAGAAUAUUGAGCAUAUCCUCAGAAGCAUCCAGAACUGGUGAUAACAUCUCAAUGGUAGCAAGGAAAGAUUGGCAUAUAUUAUCUAUACAGGUGAAUAUGAGUUCAUUUUGAAUUUUCUCUCCAGUAGUAGCCCUCCCUUUUGACUGCAAAAUCAUGUACAAAAUAAAUAUUGAACAGAUAUAAGAUACCACAAAGAACAGGAAGAAGAAAUUUACUAAGAGUAAUAAAACUAAACAAGAAAGUAUCAGUUAAUUAAGAAACCAAAUGAAGUACAAGAAACCUGCAAUAUUAAUGUUGAAACACUUUUUCAUUCAAUCCUUUAAUAGAUAAAUGACCAAAACAAUUUUCUAAUCGUCCCUUGACAUUAUUAAUCAUAGUAAGAAAAGAUAAAAUAGUUUAAAAUCUUAAAAUACUGCUUCGUGGUAAAGAAGGAUCCUACUUUCCAUAUUUGAGUUGAGAUAUUGCCUUAUUUAGUUUCUUUUAUUCUCUUCUAUAGAUAGUUUGUUUCCAUCUUUAUGAUAUUGGCUCCUAUUGUUAUCCCUAUAAUUUCGAGAUCUUUGAUUGUAAGCAUUUGAUUAUAAAUACAUGAGACUGAGGGUUUAGUCCCUCAAGCAAUUCAAUCAUUUCAUUCAAAAAGAGUCACGCAUAAACCAACUGCAAGGCUCAAAUUUAUAUACAUGUAGAAGCAGUAUUUGGAACAGUUGAGCUUGCAUGCAGACAAUUAAACAUCUGUAGCUUUCUAACUAUUGUUCGGUUAGGAAAAUGUAAUGAAAGAAAAUCAAGAUUUUAGAUUCUCACAUCAUCAUGAUAGACAGCCAACACAGCUAUCAAUUCUUUUAAUGCAGAAAGCUUUGAACUUGAAAGCAACAUAACCAUGUUUGCAUCCUGCAGGAAACGCAGCAUGGUUUCUGCAAUUUCCUUAGAUGUUCUCCAAUCAGAACAAUCCCAAGCACCUAAGUUCAGAUCUGAUCGCAACUGUGUAAGGUCAAACAAGAACAUAUUCUUUGCAAAAAAAUCUUCACUGAACUGCUGUUGAUAGGAUCCCAAAAAAUUUGAUUCAACAAGAUACUGAGAUAAUUCUUUGAAGGGUCCGAUACCCAUUUUUCUCCCUUCAAGCUCUCCUUGUAAAUGAUAAUAAAGGUCAUUAAGAAUCAACUUCUUUAGUUCCUUCCCCUCACUGUACAAAUUAAGAAUAACGACCAUAUUAUGAUUGAUAUGGAAAAUACAAACCUGUUUUAGUUAGAUAACAUGAAUUCGAGACACGAAUCAUUUGGUGAAAAAAAACAUAAUUUUUUACUCAAAACCACUAAGAAUUUUAUUAAAAAAUGAGGUUUCCUGGAUUCUCAGUAGUCCAAUGAUAGCAAAAUCUGAGCCAAAAGAGUGUUCUGAAGUUAAUUGAACAUCCAAGAAAAAGGCAUGCAUCUUAUCAGAAAAAGAAAGAAAAAAAAGCAGCAUGCAUGAUUAUAUGCAGCAAAAUGAAUUGUUAACUGACGUUACAACAAUCCCAGAUAGUGUGUAAUUGAUAUAGAAAACCUUUAUUUAAGAUCUUAAAGCAAUAAUCCAAAAUGUCUAGUGACCUGUAACCACGGUGUGAAUACUGAGAUAGCAAUUCAGAGAAGGCGGGAUGAAUUGUCAGCUGCAAACAAUAAACAUUUUGUUAGAAAAUGUUGACAAAAUAGUCAUAAAGAUUAAAUUUUAACUUUUUGAAGCCUAACAUAUUCAUCAUGAUUUGCAUAAGACCGAUUAACAUGUUGCGAUAGUAAAGUAGAAUAAAUUACUUUCAUAGAUCAAAAUAGAAUAGACGUUAAACCUUCGUAAAAAUUCCAUGAAUCUUUUGAAGCAAGGACACGGCUAAACUUCCGGAGUCGUUAACUGCUAAUUUUAACAUCACAUGAACACAGAAUAAACUGGUGGCAACCUGAAAAUUUUCAUGCAUUUAACAUUAAAAUAAAGAUUACAAGUUUAUUAUGCAAAUCUAUAAUCGUCACAUAAAUAGCAUAAACACAGAAAUAAAAAGAAUUUUCAUCUUUUGAUUUGUAUUAUACAAAAGAACAUGUUGUAAAUAGAACCACAUUAACGCUCCACUUUCAAGUAGUUUAGAUUCUGUACAGCAAGUAGAAUAGAUUCAAUGCGUCUUAGGAAAUAGGGAUACUUUAGCAACUAAACUCAAAAUGUAUUAUUACCCUCUCUAAUCUUUCUACAUAAAUUAAACAUUCUGCUGGGCAUUAAUUCACUCAGGCAUAUUUGGAAAACCGAUCUUAUUUCUUAAUUCUCACACAUGCAAGUACUCAACAAUAAGAUUAUAAGGGUAGAGAAUGCAACAUAUACUGAACUUUAUAACAAAACAAUGACAUAGUACCAUUUAAGUAUAGAAUUAAGCCUAUUGUAUAGGAAAGACUACCACAACUGUUAAAUCAACAAGGAAAAUCAUAUCAAGCUAACCUUUGCACCAUCAUAUACAUCAUUAUUAUGUCGACAAGAAGUAUAUGUUUUUAUUAGUUUCUCUAAAACGGAGUCUUUGAACCAUGAAGACCAAACUCCCUUAAGAUCAUGAAAAUCUGUGGCUUUAGAUUUUUCAGUUUUUGUGGCAUUUUGCUCCUUGUCCUUAGAUUCUGAUGUGUUCUUCACAAGUGACUCUGCAUGCAACAACUUUUUCUGCAAGAAUAAUUCAUAUGCCAUGAUUCCCAGUAUGGCAGAUUGACAACGGAAACUGUAUGCCAGAUUAAGUGCAGCUUUUCCUUUCAGACUCUCAAAUAUGGGAUAUUCACUGCUAGCAGUUUUUGUGAUUGCAUUGGCCAAGUGCUUCCAGAAAUUUACAUGGCUUCUUAGAGACUCCAAGAGAUUUGCAUACUGGGGAGCCCCUUGCCAUAAGGCAGUCAUGAAGUUAAGCACGCAAAGCAGUAUGCGAGGCUUACUGGAGAUAAUGAAAAAAUUACAAUAUGAAGACUUAGUCAAAAGAAAUGUGUGACAACUGACAAGCAAGAUAAUCUACAAAAAGAACAGUCAAUAAGGAUGGAAAUCAAAGCAAAAACCAGACAAACCCUUCGUCCAACCACAACCCUCCGAAUUGUACCUUUUGAUCAGAUCAUCUGCCUGCUCAAUGUAGUUUAUAAGUGCAUCUAUCAGAACUGAACCUUUAGGCACAGAAGUUCCAUUUCUUUGUAGCUUUGCAUCAUCAGUACUUGAGUGGUCCUCAUUGUUCUCCCCCGGCGCCAAGAUGGAAACAAUAAAAGAAGGCUGCAAAAACGAAUGUUAUAUUAGAAACUGAUAAUUUAACACACGAGUACAGUGAAAAAAAGUCUAAUUGCGAAGGUCAUCAGCACUUUUAGAACAAACAAAAAAGUAUAUAAAAAAUACUAAUACUAUCUUACAAUAUUUUAAUCUAUGUUAAUAUUAUAUCUUAUGGUAGCUUUUCAUAUUUCCUUACUUUUCAUGUUUGGUUUCCUUAUUCAAUUAGAAUUCAUAAUAUUGUACAACAGCAUUUGAGAGGUACCACCUUCAGUGACCUAUAAUGUCACUAUUCCACAACUGAGUACAAGUAUAACAUGGUAGAGAGAAAAUAUAAUGUAUUGUCCCUCAUAUAAUGAAUAAUACAUCAAUUCAAUGUCGAGUAAAGCCCCUCUUAUAUAUAGAGUGGAGACCAAAGAGAAAACGGAACCUCCAAGUCUGUUGUAGGUAGUUAUAACUCAUAACUGCCUAAAAGAAAUAGUAAAUAUGCCGGUUGUACAUAGAGAGAAAAGAUUCCUUAGGUAAAAAAGUAUUUUAAAAAGUUGGCAACAAAACAGAGAUUUGUGCUACUGAAAGUCUGAGUGACUGAAAUUAGCAUUUACAAAAAAAUGAAAAUAUACACCAGACAAACUAAAAAUGGUAUCACUGCAAGUAAACUUGUAAUUAUUAAAUUCACUACAUAUAGUUUCAACCUGGUAGUUUGCUGCAGAAGUAAGCAGGUUAACUGUUGCAAUAAAGAGAUCUUCAUUUAAUUCUGAUUUCUCCCGUAGUAUGUAGCUCAUAGAGUGCCUCAAAUUUAUGAUCUAAAACCGAUUAGAAAAACCAUCAGUUAAAUCACAUUUAUUAACCAAGGGAACUAUGAAGUUGAGGAAACUGAAACUAACAUCCCAAACCUCUUGAUUAUCUGGAGCAAAGUAUGUGGUUUCACAUGAAAAUGAUUGGACACAAUCUGUUGUGGCAAAUAAUGUUGAAAUAAACCUAACAGCACCAAGUUGGAUGACCUGCAUAAGCAGCACAUCUGUUGUUAAACAACACAAUAUAAAAUCAGGUACUGUCAAGCAUAUACUGGCUAAAAGGGUAUAAUAAGUAACAAAUACUCCAUCAAGUAUCAACAAAGGUAUGCAGGGAUCUCUAAGAGAACAUUAAAUGCACAAAACGGCAUAUAGUUGAUGAAGAAAAAGCAAGAGUGAAAAAAAUAAGGCAAUACAAGAUUACAACAUGAAAAAAGAGACGACAAAUUGACAAUCCAAGUAACUAAAAACUAGAGAAAAUCUGGAAAAUGUGACAAAUAUGAUCAACGUAAUUUAAUUAUGCAGCUAAAUGUUAAUGCCAUUAAUACCAAUACUGUACACUGAAGAGUUCACAGACACAAAUUGAUUGAGGACAAGAAAGCGGACAAAAGGAAGAUGUUCAUUAUUGUUGAAUAAAAACUCAUGUAAUAAUACUGAAAAAUAAUCAGAAAAAUAUAAUGGUACUCCAAUUUGAGAAAAGUUAGAGUUCAUACAGGGUCUCGGAAGUAUGAAAUCAACGAUAUAGCAGACGUGACAACAGGAACUGGUUUGGUUGUGCAUGAGAACACUGCCUGGAGAAAAACAGGAAUGCUGGA
RNAcentral lists this long non-coding RNA (5093 nucleotides) under Lathyrus oleraceus (garden pea). Its description in RNAcentral is "Pisum sativum (pea) long non-coding RNA (PSAT_LNC029592)". Lineage: Eukaryota; Viridiplantae; Streptophyta; Magnoliopsida; Fabales; Fabaceae. The record is from RNAcentral.